RNAcentral lists this long non-coding RNA (854 nucleotides) under Monodelphis domestica (gray short-tailed opossum). Its description in RNAcentral is "lncRNA (ENSMODG00000044178.1)". Lineage: Eukaryota; Metazoa; Chordata; Mammalia; Didelphimorphia; Didelphidae. The record is from RNAcentral.
AAGAGAUAAAUCAAAGUUGAAAGAUCAAACAGAUUCAGUUCUCCUUUGGUCUUCAUUUUUAGCCUAGGUCUAUACAUUCAAAAAUUAAACUAAAUUAAUUCAAUCUUUCUCUUGUUUAAAAAUACAGGUAUCCCUUCCACAUGAUGACUUUCUCCAUCAAAGUUUCCAUAUAUUGCGUAAAACCAGUGAUGAGCAACUUUCCAGAUAUGAGCCAAAGGUAUUUUCAAGAAAUCCUCAGGACCCAUUAAGCAUAAUGUGGAAAGAGACUCAUAGAACCUGCUCCACUGAUGGGCAAAAGCAUGAACUAGACCACACUGAACAAUCUCUUGACUCCUUCAUAAACUUGCUGACUAUAUUUUCCAGCCACUGAGUCAUAGUAUACAUUGUCUGACAAAUAAUAUUCCCUUAACAAAGCCUUGCUGUUUCCAGUCAUUGAGUCAGUAUACAUUGUCUGACAAAUAAUAUUGCCUUAACAAAGCCUAAUUAAAAGUGCCCUUUCUUUUCUCAAAAAGCAGGACUGGGCCCCUAAAUCCCCACACCAUUUCAUUUUCUUUCUCUUGGUGCCUGGGGACUUGUUAAACCCACAUCCCCACAUUCAACCAAUCUGCUAACCCCAGCUAAGGUGUUAACCCAUAACUAAGGUAUUAACUGUGACUUGACCUGUGCCCCCUAUCCUGGGUACCUGCAUUUUAAAAGGUAAUUCUCUAAAUUUUGGAGAAGAAAAAAAAUUACCCCCCCUCCCACACUGAUCAUCUCUAUUUUCCCAAUCCCUGGCCACCAUGUUUAUCAUCCCCAUUCUCCCAACCCUCCUAUUCAGUGGAUAAAUAAAUAAAGAGACUGGGUAAAUGCCUUCA